GAUCAUGGCUCAGGAUGAACGCUAGCUACAGGCUUAACACAUGCAAGUCGAGGGGCAGCAUGGUCUUAGCUUGCUAAGGCCGAUGGCGACCGGCGCACUGGUGAGUAACACGCAUCCAACCUGUCGUCUACUCUUGGACAGCCUUCUGAAAGGAAGAUUAAUACAAGAUGGCAUCAUGAGUCCGCAUGUUCACAUGAUUAAAGGUAUUCCGGUAGACG
This 218-nucleotide ribosomal RNA is filed under the name uncultured bacterium. RNAcentral describes it as "partial 16S ribosomal RNA". It matches the Rfam family "Bacterial small subunit ribosomal RNA", at positions 15 to 224 of the family's 1533-position model. The record is from RNAcentral.